RNAcentral lists this transfer RNA (85 nucleotides) under Clostridium sp. C1. RNAcentral describes it as "tRNA-Leu". It matches the Rfam family "tRNA". From Rfam's summary of the family: Transfer RNA (tRNA) molecules are approximately 80 nucleotides in length. Their secondary structure includes four short double-helical elements and three loops (D, anti-codon, and T loops). Lineage: Bacteria; Bacillati; Bacillota; Clostridia; Eubacteriales; Clostridiaceae. The record is from RNAcentral.
GCCUGAGUGGCGAAAUUGGUAUACGCACAGCACUCAAAAUGCUGCGACCUAUGUCAUGUCGGUUCGAGUCCGACCUCAGGCACCA